This 492-nucleotide ribosomal RNA is filed under the name Triticum aestivum (bread wheat). Its description in RNAcentral is "partial small subunit ribosomal RNA". The record is from RNAcentral. Lineage: Eukaryota; Viridiplantae; Streptophyta; Magnoliopsida; Poales; Poaceae.
AUGAGGAAUGCUUACACUAUAGGCAUGAGAAGCACACAAUUAAGUGAGAUCUUGAACAGUGACUUGAAAGAUCAUCUAUAGUCUGAUCUUGACAUCGUUCGGUUUUUCAAGCACGUAGAGAGGGUUGUGUUGGGGAACGUAGGCAACUAUAUUUUGAAGUGAUGGACUCGAGAAGCGCGAAGCGGCACUAUACAAAACAGCCAUGGAAACAUUGUUUUGGAAGAUCCUAGAUCAGAAGGCAGACAACAUUUGAAGUUUUUCAUGCACGAGUUCCUUGGCAUUGCUUCACAAGCAGUUACAUCAGAACAGUGUAUCAAACUAAAGAUAUAUCUAAAGAACCAGACGAUUGUUUAAAGGAUGCUUGCCCAAAGAAAUAGGAAAUUCCAAAGAAAAAUUCAAGAAGAAAGAAAUCAUGGCUUGACAAUCAUCACCCAAAUAAAAAGAAGAAGGAGACAACUAAAGCGGUACCCAAAAAUCAAAAUCAUUCUGUAA